CCUGCCCCUUGAGGCGUUGCAGGCGUGGCUGUUGUGUCACACCUGCGUCACUAGGCGGCAGAGAGAAUCGAGGCUAUGUCUACGCUCAGUGUUCUGGCCUGUGAACGCUUGAAUGAUUAGUAGCCUGACACUG
Fukomys damarensis (Damara mole-rat) is the source of this 133-nucleotide small nucleolar RNA. The record is from Ensembl. NCBI's taxonomy places the organism in Eukaryota, Metazoa, Chordata, Mammalia, Rodentia, Bathyergidae.